GAUCAUGGCUCAGGACGAACGCUGGCGGCGUGCCUAAUACAUGCAAGUCGAGCGGACAGAAGGGAGCUUGCUCCCGGAAGUCAGCGGCGGACGGGUGAGUAACACGUAGGUAACCUGCCCCUUAGACUGGGAUAACUCCGGGAAACCGGAGCUAAUACGGGAUAAUAAAGAGAAUCACCUGAUUCUCUUUUGAAAGACGGUUUCGGCUGUCACUAAGGGAUGGGCCUGCGGCGCAUUAGCUAGUUGGUAAGGUAACGGCUUACCAAGGCGACGAUGCGUAGCCGACCUGAGAGGGUGAUCGGCCACACUGGGACUGAGACACGGCCCAGACUCCUACGGGAGGCAGCAGUAGGGAAUCUUCCGCAAUGGACGAAAGUCUGACGGAGCAACGCCGCGUGAGUGAGGAAGGCCUUCGGGUCGUAAAGCUCUGUUGUGAGGGAAGAACAAGUACCGGCGUAACUACCGGUACCUUGACGGUACCUCACCAGAAAGCCACGGCUAACUACGUGCCAGCAGCCGCGGUAAUACGUAGGUGGCAAGCGUUGUCCGGAAUUA
The sequence is a ribosomal RNA, 555 nucleotides long. It matches the Rfam family "Bacterial small subunit ribosomal RNA", at positions 15 to 553 of the family's 1533-position model.